This 492-nucleotide ribosomal RNA is filed under the name Triticum aestivum (bread wheat). Its description in RNAcentral is "partial small subunit ribosomal RNA". The record is from RNAcentral. Lineage: Eukaryota; Viridiplantae; Streptophyta; Magnoliopsida; Poales; Poaceae.
AUGGGCAGGGGCAAGUUCAAGGGCAAGCCAACCGGCCGCCGCAACUUCUCCACCCCGGAGGAGAUCGCUUCUGGAACUUCAGGGCGUCCACGGUCGUUUAAGAAGAAUGUAGCUGAAGCAGAAGAGGAAGAGGAAGAAGUGGAAGAAUCUGAAGACGAAGAAUCCGAAGACGACGGUGAAGAGAAGAAACAUAAAGGAACUGAAGGUGUUAUUCAAAUCGAAAAUCCAAACCUGGUGAAAGCAAAGAAUAUAAAAGCCAAAGAAGCUGAUCUUGGAAAGACAACUGAACUCUCGAGGCGUGAGAGAGAGGAGAUCGAGAAACAAAAAUCUCAUGAGCGCUAUAUGAAGCUUCAGGAGCAAGGCAAAACAGAACAGGCGAAGAAAGAUUUGGAACGUCUUGCUUUAAUAAGGCAGCAAAGAGCAGAUGCUGCAAAGAAACGCGAAGAGGAGAAAGCUGCUAAAGAACAGAGGAAGACCGAAGCGCGCAAAUAA